Molecule: ribosomal RNA, 161 nt
Filed under: Arrowsmithia pulvinaris
Lineage: Eukaryota; Viridiplantae; Streptophyta; Magnoliopsida; Asterales; Asteraceae
Description: Macowania pulvinaris 5.8S ribosomal RNA
Rfam family: 5.8S ribosomal RNA
About the family: 5.8S ribosomal RNA (5.8S rRNA) is a component of the large subunit of the eukaryotic ribosome.
Source: RNAcentral
ACGACUCUCGGCAACGGAUAUCUCGGCUCACGCAUCGAUGAAGAACGUAGCAAAAUGCGAUACUUGGUGUGAAUUGCAGAAUCCCGUGAACCAUCGAGUUUUUGAACGCAAGUUGCGCCCGAAGCCAUUUGGUUGAGGGCACGUCUGCAUGGGCGUCACGU